AGCUAUCGCAGAAGACAUCACGCUAUGGCCGACUGUUUACACAUUGUUGGUUGAAAAAGCUUCGUUUCUUUAAUAUUUCCUGUGCUGUAGUGGACCUUCAGCCGCCACUUUCCUGGCAACACAAUGCCCGUGCCGGUGCAAGGCGCCUACCAACGAGGUCCCAGCUGCUGGGAUCGCGUGAAAAUGGGCUUCACAAUUGGUUUCUGCGUAGGCAUGGCAUCAGGAGCGCUUUUUGGAGGUUUCUCCGCUCUCAGAUAUGGCCUGAGGGGGCGAGAACUGAUCCAGAGUGUUGGCAAAGUGAUGCUACAGGGCGGCGGCACAUUCGGAACGUUCAUGUCCAUAGGAACUGCAAUAAGAUGCUGAAAGUGUAUAACCGAACAUACUUGGCGUGUUGCUCAUCUGUGCAAAGAUGUGUGACAAAGCAAGUGUACGAACAGAAAUGUGUCUUCUUCUACAUCACAGAGCAGUUUACCUUGGCGAUAAAGGAUGUUAUACCUCCCAGUCAA
Molecule: long non-coding RNA, 506 nt
Filed under: Dermacentor andersoni
Lineage: Eukaryota; Metazoa; Arthropoda; Arachnida; Ixodida; Ixodidae
Description: uncharacterized LOC126536910
Source: RNAcentral